This 132-nucleotide small nucleolar RNA is filed under the name Drosophila ananassae. RNAcentral describes it as "snoRNA:GF26147". Lineage: Eukaryota; Metazoa; Arthropoda; Insecta; Diptera; Drosophilidae. The record is from RNAcentral.
UGGAGUCAAAGUGGCAUUUAUGGGAACUCUUAUCCGAUUUGUGUCUCAAAUACUCCAAAACAAACUAGUGAGACGGACGGCAUCCUGAAUAAUGUAUCCUAUUAUAUCAGAUGACUUGUGUUCGUCUACAUU